Molecule: long non-coding RNA, 540 nt
Organism: Pezoporus flaviventris
Lineage: Eukaryota; Metazoa; Chordata; Aves; Psittaciformes; Psittacidae
Exons: 3
Source: RefSeq, a predicted model, not a curated record
AUAAAAGCCACUAUAUUUAGUGGGCAUUUCCCAGACAUCCUUCACCAGUGUGGAAUAAGCAGAGCAAAGCACUCAGAGCCUUGGACCAUGCUGCUCCUCUGCUAGAACACAGUGCCAGAAACAACCAGGUUGCAAGCCUCUAGUUUGUCCUUCCUGCAGCAAAGCAUCAGUUUGCAAAGGAAUGCGAGACAUCCAGGACACCCCAGCCUCCAGUCAUGUUAACAGCUCCCUCGCACAUGAAACACUUUUUCCUCAAAGGCCAAAGUCAGCAGGACUGCCAGCAGCAACGUGCUCUUCCCAUUCCCAUUCAUCUGCCAGCCCCAGCCCAAGGACACCUUGCUGCCUGUUUCAGGCCUCUUGGGCUUGGAAAGGUUUUGCCCACCUGCUUGAAGAGGAUUUCCUGCACGUUUCACCUGUGAUGGUCACACAGUGCUGAGGCCCCAGCACAGCGCUGGGAGGACUCCGCAGUCUCAGACACCACAAGAGGGUGCUGCGAGCGAGCGGGGAGCGUGACCGAGAUAAGGCUGCAGAGCUGCAGAG